This 445-nucleotide ribosomal RNA is filed under the name uncultured bacterium. RNAcentral describes it as "partial 16S ribosomal RNA". It matches the Rfam family "Bacterial small subunit ribosomal RNA", at positions 354 to 796 of the family's 1533-position model. The record is from RNAcentral.
GUGAGGAAUAUUGGUCAAUGGGCGCGAGCCUGAACCAGCCAAGUAGCGUGAGGGAUAACUGCCCUAUGGGUUGUAAACCUCUUUUGCAGGGGGGUAAAGUGGUUCACGUGUGGACCAUUGCAAGUACCCUGCGAAUAAGGAUCGGCUAACUCCGUGCCAGCAGCCGCGGUAAUACGGAGGAUCCGAGCGUUAUCCGGAUUUAUUGGGUUUAAAGGGAGCGUAGGCGGGGGUUUAAGUCAGCUGUGAAAUGCCGUGGCCCAACCAUGGAACUGCAGUUGAAACUGGACCUCUUGAGAGUACAUAAGGAAGGCGGAAUUCGUGGUGUAGCGGUGAAAUGCAUAGAUAUCACGAAGAACUCCGAUUGCGAAGGCAGCUUUCCGGGGUACAUCUGACGCUGAAGCUCGAAAGUGCGGGAAUCAAACAGGAUUAGAUACCCUUGUAGUCC